Manacus vitellinus (golden-collared manakin) is the source of this 1315-nucleotide long non-coding RNA. The record is from Ensembl. Lineage: Eukaryota; Metazoa; Chordata; Aves; Passeriformes; Pipridae.
CACAGCUCUUCCUCCUCCUUCCUCCUCCUCUUCCUCUUCCUCCCUUCUCCUUCCUCCUUCCCCCGGCCCCUUUUCCGCCUUUUUUCCACCCAUUUUGCCAACGGCAAAUCCGAGUCCGACGACUCCGACCCGGAACUUUCCUCGGCCGGGGGCUUUUUGGGGCCUUUCCUGGACUUUGGGGGCUCUUCCUCCUCCUCUUCCUCCUCCUCUUCCUCUUCCUCACUCUCCAUUUUUCCCUUUUUCCCCCCAUUUUUCACACUUUGUUUCUUCUCCUUCCCAUUUUUCCCCUUUUUUCUCUCAUUUUUCCGGGCUGGACUUUCCUCUUCCUCCUCCUCCUCCUCCUCCUCUUCCUCUUCCUCCUCCUCUUCCUCCUCCUCCUCUUCCUCCUCACUCUCCAUUUUCCCCUUUUUCCCCUCAUUUUUCCCGGAUUUUUGGGUAUUUUUUCCCUCAUUCCCAAUUUUCCCCUUUUUCACCCCAUUUUUGUGACCCGGCCUCUUCCUCCCCAUUUCUUCCUCCUCUUCCUCCUCUUCCUCUUCCUCUUCUUCCUCCUCCUCCUCCUCCUCACUCUCAAUUUUCCUCCUUUUCCUCCCAUUUUUCCCAGUAUUUUCCAUGUAAUUCCCAAUUUUCCCCUUUUUCACCCCAUUUUUGGGACCUGGCCUCUUCCUCCCCCUUUCUUCCUCCUCUUCCUCCUCCUCUUCCUCCUCCUCUUCCUCCUCCUCCUCCUCUUCCUCACUCUCCAUUUUCCCCUUUUUCCCCUCAUUUUUCCCGGAUUUUUGGGUAUUUUUUCCCUCAUUCCCAUUUUUCCCCUUUUUCACCCCGUUUUUCUGACCCAGCCUCUUCCUCCCCUUUUCCUCCUCUUCCUCCUCUUCUUCCUCCUCCUCUUCCUCACUCUCAAUUUUCCUCCUUUUCCUCCCGUUUUUCCCAAUAUUUUCCCCCUCAUUCCCAAUUUUCCCCUUUUUCACCCCAUUUUUCUGACUCAUUCUCUUCCUCCCCUUUUUCUCUUCCUCUUCUUCCUCCUCCUCCUCUUCUUCCUCCUCCUCUUCCUCCUCCUCCUCCUCCUCACUCUCAAUUUUCCUCCUUUUUCUCUCGUUUUUCCCAAUAUUUCCCCCCUCAUUCCCAACUUUCCCCUUUUUCCCCUCAUUUUUCUGACUCAGCCUCUUCCUCCCUUUUUCCUCUUCCUCCUCCUCCUCUUCCUCCUCCUCCUCUUCCUCACUCUCCAUUUUCCCCUCAUUUUUCCCGGAUUUUGGGUUUUUUUGACCCUCCCUCCGGUUUUCCCCCUUUUUCACCCCAUUUUGCCCCAUUUUCCCCCCAUUUU